CCUACGGGAGGCAGCAGUCGAGAAUCAUUCACAAUGGGGGAAACCCUGAUGGUGCGACGCCGCGUGGGGGAAUGAAGGUCUUCGGAUUGUAAACCCCUGUCAUGUGGGAGCAAAUUAAAAAGAUAGUACCACAAGAGGAAGAGACGGCCAACUCUGUGCCAGCAGCCGCGGUAAGACAGAGGUCUCAAGCGUUGUUCGGAAUCACUGGGCGUAAAGCGUGCGUAGGCUGUUUCGUAAGGCGUGUGUGAAAGGCGCGGGCUCAACCCGCGGACGGCACAUGAUACUGCGAGACUAGAGUAAUGGAGGGGGAACCGGAAUUCUCGGUGUAGCAGUGAAAUGCGUAGAUAUCGAGAGGAACACUCGUGGCGAAGGCGGGUUCCUGGACAUUAACUGACGCUGAGGCACGAAGGCCAGGGGAGCGAAAGGGAUUAGAUACCCGGGUAGUC
RNAcentral lists this ribosomal RNA (446 nucleotides) under uncultured bacterium. RNAcentral describes it as "partial 16S ribosomal RNA". It matches the Rfam family "Bacterial small subunit ribosomal RNA", at positions 338 to 795 of the family's 1533-position model. The record is from RNAcentral.